GACGAACGCUGGCGGCGUGCUUAACACAUGCAAGUCGAACGAAGAGCGAUGGAAGCUUGCUUCUAUCAAUCUUAGUGGCGAACGGGUGAGUAACGCGUAAUCAACCUGCCCUUCAGAGGGGGACAACAGUUGGAAACGACUGCUAAUACCGCAUACGAUCUAACCUCGGCAUCGAGGAUAGAUGAAAGGUGGCCUCUACAUGUAAGCUAUCACUGAAGGAGGGGAUUGCGUCUGAUUAGCUAGUUGGAGGGGUAACGGCCCACCAAGGCGAUGAUCAGUAGCCGGUCUGAGAGGAUGAACGGCCACAUUGGGACUGAGACACGGCCCAGACUCCUACGGGAGGCAGCAGUGGGGAAUCUUCCGCAAUGGACGAAAGUCUGACGGAGCAACGCCGCGUGAGUGAUGACGGCCUUCGGGUUGUAAAGCUCUGUUAAUCGGGACGAAAGGCCUUCUUGCGAAUAGUUAAAG
This 468-nucleotide ribosomal RNA is filed under the name Veillonella parvula. RNAcentral describes it as "bacterial SSU rRNA". It matches the Rfam family "Bacterial small subunit ribosomal RNA", at positions 28 to 466 of the family's 1533-position model. The record is from RNAcentral. Lineage: Bacteria; Bacillati; Bacillota; Negativicutes; Veillonellales; Veillonellaceae.